Molecule: ribosomal RNA, 253 nt
Filed under: uncultured bacterium
Lineage: Bacteria
Description: partial 16S ribosomal RNA
Rfam family: Bacterial small subunit ribosomal RNA
Source: RNAcentral
UACGUAGGGUGCAAGCGUUGUCCGGAUUUAUUGGGUUUAAAGGGUGCGUAGGCGGCCCUGUAAGUCAGUGGUGAAAUACUCCAGCUUAACUGGAGGGGUGCCAUUGAUACUGCAGGGCUUGAGUGGAGUCGAAGUAGGCGGAAUUGACGGUGUAGCGGUGAAAUGCUUAGAUAUCGUCAAGAACACCGAUAGUGAAGACAGCUUACUAGGCUUCUACUGACGCUGAGGCACGAAAGUGUGGGGAUCAAACAGG